GAUCUUCUCUUUCCUUUUAGUGGCUUUUGGUAGAGCGGUGGAAAUGAUUCCGUUUAGGAAGCAUGCAAAUUAACAAAGCAUCAAUGUCACAUAAUGGUAUGAGCUUGCCCCUUUUUCUUGUGGUCCUUGGGGCUAGUGGUCAUCUCAUGACGGAAGUUCUAAUUGUCACGUCCUUUUGAAACCAAGGCUGCAUCUCAGAUGCAGAUAAAAGAUUGUCCUCAUUUAGAAAGUUUGCAAAC
Molecule: long non-coding RNA, 239 nt
Filed under: Phascolarctos cinereus (koala)
Lineage: Eukaryota; Metazoa; Chordata; Mammalia; Diprotodontia; Phascolarctidae
Description: lncRNA (ENSPCIG00000008287.2)
Source: RNAcentral